CGGGGACUGGGAUGCGCUUACUGCUGCGCUGCUGCUCGGUCAGCCAGCGUCUGGGAUGGGAGCGCUCCUGCAUUUUACAUGACUGCGGGGCCUGUUCCUUGCGCCUGUCUGGUCGCGUCACAUCAUGGAGGGUUUCUCGGGGCGGCCGGCCGCCUCUGAGCACAGCCAGGGUGGUGUUUGCAGCACAGCUGCUGCCUAGGCCUCGCUGCGGAGGUGCUGGGCCACGGCCCCGUGGAGGCAGAGCCGCAGGGCCAUCGACAUGUCCUUUGAAAACGGGCAUUUCCCCAACUCAUGCAGGUGGAGGGGAGAGCGAAGCCAAAUGGGACACCGGCCCCCACACACUGCCCCGGCUCCUGCAUUUCCGGAGAUGGAAACCUGGAGAGCAGCUGGGAUCUUGAAAACGUGGGUUGGACUGCGUCACCCCGACCCCUGCCUCAAAGCCCCUCCGUGGUUGCCUACAGCACAGCUUGAAGCCCCUUGGUUCUGCUUCCCGGGCCUGCAGCGCUGGCCCCAGCCUGGCCGAGCGAGCAUUUGUUCACCCAAGACCUUUCCCCUCCUGCCCUCGUGGAGCCUCCACAAGGAGUAAACAACCACUUCUGUGAGCCUUGAUCUCCCUGUUUGUAAAAUGCAGAUAAAACGCCUUCCUAGCUGAGCAGUAGGAUCGGGGGCCGCCCCCUGCUCAGCAUGGGCCUGGGUGCAGGAACAGGAAUUUUCUUUCUGCUCUGUGAGCCUAUCUUUUCAAGGGUAGGGUCCAUGUUUUCUCCAUUUCAGGGUCCCUCAAAGCAUCAACUCUGUGCCUUGCAGACAGCGGACACGUAACACAGCCACGCGGCGUGAACAUGAGCAGACUUCUUUUUUCCAGGAUGUGCACGGUUUCCACGACAAUGCCCACUGCACGCCUUAUGGCCUCACCAGAGACGUAAAGCAGAUGCCAAGAAACUUCCCCCCAAAAUGGGCUGGCUUGCCAAGCCCAGGACCGCCUGUCCAGCUGGGGCUGGGGGCAAGGAUCCCAUUUUCUGUGACUCUCUUUGCUCUGAUGGUCAGGUUCACCGGCCGUACGUGUAAUCUGAAGCAUUCGGUAGCGAUCUAAUUAAAUGUUAACACAUCAUUAAAGUGAUUUGCGA
This 1124-nucleotide long non-coding RNA is filed under the name Homo sapiens (human). RNAcentral's name for it is "HSALNT0318147". Lineage: Eukaryota; Metazoa; Chordata; Mammalia; Primates; Hominidae. The record is from RNAcentral.